This 541-nucleotide ribosomal RNA is filed under the name uncultured bacterium. RNAcentral's name for it is "bacterial SSU rRNA". It matches the Rfam family "Bacterial small subunit ribosomal RNA", at positions 135 to 671 of the family's 1533-position model. The record is from RNAcentral.
AGUGGGGGAUAACCUCUCGAAAGAGAGGCUAAUACCGCAUACGAUCCACGGAUGAAAGCGGGGGACCGCAAGGCCUCGCGCUAUUGGAGCGGCCGAUGCCGGAUUAGCUAGUUGGUGGGGUAACGGCCCACCAAGGCGACGAUCCGUAGCUGGUCUGAGAGGACGGCCAGCCACACUGGAACUGAGACACGGUCCAGACUCCUACGGGAGGCAGCAGUGGGGAAUUUUGGACAAUGGGCGCAAGCCUGAUCCAGCCAUGCCGCGUGAGUGAAGAAGGCCUUCGGGUUGUAAAGCUCUUUCGGCGGGGACGAAACGGUUCGUGUCAACACCACGGACUAAUGACGGUACCUGCAGAAGAAGCACCGGCUAACUACGUGCCAGCAGCCGCGGUAAUACGUAGGGUGCAGGCGUUAAUCGGAAUUACUGGGCGUAAAGCGUGCGUAGGCGGUCUGUUAAGACAGGUGUGAAAUCCCCGGGCUUAACCUGGGAACUGCGCUUGUUACUGGCCGACUGGAGUGUGGCAGAGGGGGGUGGAAUUCCA